AGAGUUUGAUCUUGGCUCAGGAUGAACGCUAGCUACAGGCUUAACACAUGCAAGUCAAGGGGAAACGACAUCGAAAGCUUGCUUUUGAUGGGCGUCGACCGGCGCACGGGUGAGUAACGCGUAUCCAACCUGCCCACCACUUGGGGAUAACCUUGCGAAAGUAAGACUAAUACCCAAUGACGUCUCUAGAAGACAUCUGAAGGAGAUUAAAGAUUUAUCGGUGAUGGAUGGGGAUGCGUCUGAUUAGCUUGUUGGCGGGGUAACGGCCCACCAAGGCGACGAUCAGUAGGGGUUCUGAGAGGAAGGUCCCCCANAUUGGAACUGAGACACGGUCCAAACUCCUACGGGAGGCA
RNAcentral lists this ribosomal RNA (353 nucleotides) under uncultured bacterium. RNAcentral describes it as "bacterial SSU rRNA". It matches the Rfam family "Bacterial small subunit ribosomal RNA", at positions 8 to 350 of the family's 1533-position model. The record is from RNAcentral.